GGGGGCGACAUGGAUUCGACGCCGGUAUUGAACUCUGUGGUGCAUGCCGAGUAGGUCACAGUGCUCGUAACCACCUUGUGGCACACUAAAGUAAUCGCAAACGACGAUACUUACGCACUAGCAGCUUAAACCCUGCUUAUCGCCAAUCGACCCAGCCUGUGGGGAAGAGCGGCGAGCAUCGCUACACAGGAUCGCAGCAACGUCCGUCCCGGAUCGCGCUGUUAAAACCUUAGGGACUCGGUGACUGCGCCCUGUCGGUCGGGCCGCAGCCACUUAAAUCAAUAGACAUGACUAAGCAUGUAGAUCCAUAGAUGGAUUGCUGGCGGACGCGGGUUCGAUCCCCGCCGCCUCCACCA
RNAcentral lists this transfer-messenger RNA (356 nucleotides) under Alcanivorax sp. N3-2A. It matches the Rfam family "transfer-messenger RNA". From Rfam's summary of the family: Bacterial tmRNA, also known as 10Sa RNA or SsrA, is named for its dual tRNA and mRNA-like properties. Its role is to liberate the mRNA from a stalled ribosome. The record is from RNAcentral. RNAcentral also lists the same sequence under 1 other name. Lineage: Bacteria; Pseudomonadati; Pseudomonadota; Gammaproteobacteria; Oceanospirillales; Alcanivoracaceae.